Molecule: unclassified non-coding RNA, 221 nt
Filed under: Hevea brasiliensis (rubber tree)
Lineage: Eukaryota; Viridiplantae; Streptophyta; Magnoliopsida; Malpighiales; Euphorbiaceae
Source: RNAcentral
ACACCAACCAGACUAUUCGGUCCGUUCAUAUGAUUAUUCAUCAUCAUCUCUUGUAAGAUCUUUUGCACUGAGGAUUGUGUAUCACUAGGAUCAGCAUCUCCAGAUAAGGCGGGUUGUUGCAUAGAGAUAUUUGCCGGAGAAUUGGCAGCACUCAUUUGAUUGGCAUUCUUUGCAGCUGCAUGCGAUGGUUGUGAAAGAUUGUUAGAUGAUGAGGGAGUCGG